UACGGGGGGGGCAAGCGUUGUUCGGAAUUACUGGGCGUAAAGGGUUCGUAGGUGGCCUGCUAAGUCAGACGUGAAAUCCCUCAGCUCAACUGGGGAACUGCGUCUGAUACUGGUUGGCUUGAGUGCAGGAGAGGAACGCGGAAUUCCAGGUGUAGCGGUGAAAUGCGUAGAUAUCUGGAGGAACACCGGUGGCGAAGGCGGCGUUCUGGACUGCAACUGACACUGAUGAACGAAAGCCAGGGGAGCAAACGGG
RNAcentral lists this ribosomal RNA (253 nucleotides) under uncultured bacterium. Its description in RNAcentral is "partial 16S ribosomal RNA". It matches the Rfam family "Bacterial small subunit ribosomal RNA", at positions 524 to 776 of the family's 1533-position model. The record is from RNAcentral.